GACGAACGCUGGCGGCGUGCUUAACACAUGCAAGUCGAGCGGUAAGGCCCUUUCGGGGGUACGACGAGCGGCGAACGGGUGAGUAACACGUGGGUGACCUGCCUUUAGCUCUGGGAUAAGCCUGGGAAACUGGGUCUAAUACCGGAUACGACUCCGCGGUGCAUGCUGUGGGGUGGAAAGCCUUGUGCGGCUGGAGAUGGGCCCGCGGCCUAUCAGCUUGUUGGUGGGGUGAUGGCCACCAAGGCGACGACGGGUAGCCGGCCUGAGAGGGCGACCGGCCACACUGGGACUGAGAUACGGCCCAGACUCCUACGGGAGGCAGCAGUGGGGAAUCUUGCGCAAUGGGCGAAAGCCUGACGCAGCGACGCCGCGUGAGGGAUGACGGCCU
RNAcentral lists this ribosomal RNA (388 nucleotides) under uncultured bacterium. RNAcentral describes it as "bacterial SSU rRNA". It matches the Rfam family "Bacterial small subunit ribosomal RNA", at positions 28 to 417 of the family's 1533-position model. The record is from RNAcentral.